This 253-nucleotide ribosomal RNA is filed under the name uncultured bacterium. Its description in RNAcentral is "partial 16S ribosomal RNA". It matches the Rfam family "Bacterial small subunit ribosomal RNA", at positions 524 to 776 of the family's 1533-position model. The record is from RNAcentral.
UACGGAGGGGGCUAGCGUUGUUCGGAAUUACUGGGCGUAAAGCGCACGUAGGCGGCUUUGUAAGUUAGAGGUGAAAGCCCGGGGCUCAACCCCGGAAUUGCCUUUAAGACUGCAUCGCUAGAAUUGUGGAGAGGUAAGUGGAAUUCCGAGUGUAGAGGUGAAAUUCGUAGAUAUUCGGAAGAACACCAGUGGCGAAGGCGACUUACUGGACACAUAUUGACGCUGAGGUGCGAAAGCAUGGGGAGCAAACAGG